AAGAGACAGCAGUCGCCGCGGUAAUACGGAGGGUGCAAGCGUUAUCCGGAUUUAUUGGGUUUUAAGGGUCCGUAGGCGGACUUAUAAGUCAGUGGUGAAAGCCUGUCGCUUAACGAUAGAACUGCCAUUGAUACUGUAAGUCUUGAGUAUAUUUGAGGUAGCUGGAAUAAGUAGUGUAGCGGUGAAAUGCAUAGAUAUUACUUAGAACACCAAUUGCGAAGGCAGGUUACCAAGAUAUAACUGACGCUGAGGGACGAAAGCGUGGGUAGCGAACAGGAUUAGAUACCCCGGUAGUCCCUGUCUCUUAUAC
This 310-nucleotide ribosomal RNA is filed under the name uncultured bacterium. RNAcentral's name for it is "partial 16S ribosomal RNA". It matches the Rfam family "Bacterial small subunit ribosomal RNA", at positions 503 to 807 of the family's 1533-position model. The record is from RNAcentral.